Molecule: non-coding RNA, 31 nt
Filed under: Mus musculus (house mouse)
Lineage: Eukaryota; Metazoa; Chordata; Mammalia; Rodentia; Muridae
Source: RNAcentral
UUAACUCAAACAAGUCAAUGGCCUUUCUCUA